This 384-nucleotide unclassified non-coding RNA is filed under the name Hedyotis kurzii. RNAcentral's name for it is "partial external transcribed spacer". Lineage: Eukaryota; Viridiplantae; Streptophyta; Magnoliopsida; Gentianales; Rubiaceae. The record is from RNAcentral.
UCCUCACGGACAAGGGGACACGCGGCGCAAGCGCCGACGUGACGCCGGAAGUCGUUUGGACGCAGCAACGGAAGCUAUUUCGGGCAGAUAGGGGUCGAUGACCCCGUGCCCCCCACGUUUUUCGCAUCCCGGAGUCCGAAAGGCAUUCGUGAGCCACGACUACAACGCCGUGUUUGCCGGGGAACACGAACAUCACUUCGGGUUUCGCCCGAGACCACACCGAUUGAACGGGCAGCCCCAAGACGAACGGGAGACUGUAAGAAGCCGAAUUCCAUUCGAGUCGGUACGCAACACAGGCAACCCGCAUAACGGCCAAUAUAUUGUACCCGAGAAUGAAGAGGAAUGCACGGUCGGACGUCGCCGCGCCCGAGCGGGGAUCCAACC